RNAcentral lists this ribosomal RNA (446 nucleotides) under uncultured bacterium. RNAcentral's name for it is "partial 16S ribosomal RNA". It matches the Rfam family "Bacterial small subunit ribosomal RNA", at positions 338 to 795 of the family's 1533-position model. The record is from RNAcentral.
CCUACGGUGUGCAGCAGUCGAGAAUCAUUCACAAUGGGGGAAACCCUGAUGGUGCGACGCCGCGUGGGGGAAUGAAGUUCUUCGGAUUGAAAACCCCUGUCAUGUGGGAGCAAAUUAAAAAGAUAGUACCACAAGAGGAAGAGACGGCUAACUCUGUGCCAGCAGCCGCGGUAAUACAGAGGUCUCAAGCGUUGUUCGGAGUCACUGGGCGUAACGCUUGCGUAGGCUGGUUCGUCAGUCGUGUGUGAAAGUCGCGGUCUCAACCCGCGGACGGAACCGGAUACUGCGAGACUAGAGUAAUGGAGGGGGUACAGGAAGUCUCGGUGUAGCAGUGAAAUGCGUAGAUAUCGAGAGGAACACUCGUGGCGAAGGCGGGUUCCUGGACAUUAACUGACGCUGAGGCACGAAGGCCAGGGGAGCGAAAGGGAUUAGAUACCCCAGUAGUC